Molecule: long non-coding RNA, 4332 nt
Filed under: Musa acuminata (dwarf banana)
Lineage: Eukaryota; Viridiplantae; Streptophyta; Magnoliopsida; Zingiberales; Musaceae
Description: long non-coding RNA (MACU_LNC002636)
Source: RNAcentral
CUAGAGAGAACGCCUCAAUCGGGAUCCACAAGCAAACAUCUCCGAAAAACACUUCAUAGACAAUGCAAAUUACAAACAGACUUUACAAGCUCUGAACAGUGGCACAACAAAGGGUAAAAUGGUCCAUUACAGACCGAAGGUCUCUCGCACGUGUCCACAUGACACAACCUUUAUUUACAAGCCUAAAGAGGCCACCAACCCAACUAAAAUGGGACUAUUGAGCCUUGAGUCGCCCCUCUACAUGCUGUACAAGGCAUGAACAUGUCAAAAGACACAGACAUACAUAAGCAUUACAUCAAACACCUUGUUUAAAAGUUUGUCCGUGACAUUCUCCCCCACUUAUUCCUUCGACGUCCUCGUUGAAGCCUUUGUCGACACUGCAACUCCUCGCCUUUGCUGAGUCUUCAAUCUUUUGCUCCAGCUACAAUGCGCCUCUUGGCUCCUUGUUACUCUCUGCUGCUGUUUUUGAGUAGUCGAACCUUUGAUCCGCCAUGCAGCUUCAACUCACCAAUGACUCUGACUCUGGUGUGGGGUUGGUUGAGUUGUGUUGAUCCUUGUUGAUUCCUGCGGAUCCCCCAAAUGAAGGAAAAGAUCAUCCUUACUGCGCCAGUCUCUCGAAUUUCUCAUGCUGCUAGAACUGGUUGGAUGCUUGUUGGAGCUUUAACGAGCAUCAUCUCGCAAACUUCUGAAGUUUUGGGUCCUUCCUCUACAAAAUCUGCUCAUUGACUCUUCUUUCACUUAGUUGUCACAUCCAAGUAGGUUCGCAUCACUUCCGCUUUCGAUUGGCAUUUCGUUAGGAAAUGAAGCGGACAAUCUACUCUUAGUAGCACCGAUCACCGUUGGUGAGGAUUUGACAACUAUUGUCUUCCAUUAUCUUCGAAGGGUCUUUGAACUUGUGCAGAGCUCCUCUGCUGGAUAGAUAAGAGAAUUGGGGUACUCGGUUUCGCCCAUUCUCUUAAGAGUUGAGAAGACAAAGGUUACUUGACUUCGCCCGCCUCCUCGAGAUUGUACCUCAUGCAUCGAGCUGGUUACUAGCCUUCGCCUGCUCUUUGCUCACACUUCUGAAGCACUUGAAGUGUUUGCACUCCUUGCGUUGAGUUAGCUACUGUGAUUCACCUUCUCAAUGCCAUCGAACUUAUGGAAUGCGAGAAGUUUUCACCCCAACUUGGAGUAGUUCUCUGGUAGAUGAGGUCGCCUCUGGGAUUGUACCGUCUUCUCCAUCAACCCUGUCGCCUACUCCACUGAGUAGCAAAGGUACAGCACCACGUACUGCCUGCUUCGUUCCUUGGUUAUGCACUCUUGCAUGACCCGAAGUCCUUCACUUUCGGCUAUCUUGAUGAGAAACUUGUUGACACCGAUCUUACGAAGUUUCUUGGCCUCUACCCUUCAGCCUUGUCUCGGUACUUGGAGAUUGCCUCUGCAUUCUCCACCUCCUCGGCCCCUUUCACGACCAAGCGCUCUCCCUCCAUGAGAGCAAGGGAUCAAUGACUUUCACGGAAGUCCCGCCUCCGCGGUACCAUGGCGCUGCCAUGCCCAUGGCCCUACUAUCCGUCGCCUCGCAUCUGCAUCCCUUUUCUUCACGAUCAGUAGAUAUGUCUCCGUGGCACUCCUCUGAGUCUACCUCCAUUCUAACUGAUGCUUGAUUUUGGGUAGCUAAGUCCCUCUGGACUCGUCGUCGCUUCCUCGCCCCUUUCGACCCCCUGCUUCAACACCUCUGUGUUUUCCAAGCAGUCUGUUGGUCGAUGGAAAGACAGACUGCAACUCCCAUGCAUGGCCUCUGCCAUCACUUUGUAGGGUUUGCACCAAUUCUGUUCUCCUUAGCUUCCUUGGUAGCAACGUUCGCUUACUCGACCUUGUCCUCUGACUUGCCGGGCUCCCUUAAGCGAAUAUGAGCUCUGGAGCAGUCCAACUCUCCAGCUGCUUCGAUCAUACCUCUGCAUGAUCAAGUUCCUCCCAUGGAACUCACUGGUACUUGCAUUCGAACUUUUCCCUUGGUGGAACCCAGCCCCCAUAUGCUGAUGACCAAGGUUUUCAUCCGAUGCAAAAUUCGAUGCACGCACGGAAGACCCGCCUCUGCGGUACCAUGGCCUUCACUCCUUGAAUCAAUAGCCCUUCUUGCCGUCAUGUUGUUCACUGAAGUGGAGAUCCCAGUAGCUCCCGAUCAUACCUCCAUAUGAUCUAGUCCCUCCCGGGACUCAGUCGUGUGUAUUGCAUUGCCACGAACUGUUCCACCACGAUCCGCUGCACCAUGUCGCCUCCUGGUGACAUCUCCAUUGCAUUCUGAUCCUUGUGGAAUAAACUCGAAUUGUGAACCCUCCAUGUGUGGCCUUUGCCAAUACAUCGCAGGGUCUCCUCCACCUUCGAUUUUGUUCGCUCCUUUGGCAAUCGACCUUCAUCCACCCACUCUUGGGUCACACCUAGAUGAAGCACCGCUCUAGGACAGUCCGUCGCCUAGUAGCUCCCGAAGUCCACCGACUUCACUGUAAUUUGUGCACCAUUGUCUGGAUCCUAGGCCUCUGCCCCUACCAGCACAAUCUCCGCUGCGCACUGCUUCCUUCAUGGCAACUUGAAUGACAACACUGUGGCAUAUUCUUCAAGAGUACCCGCCUCUGCGUCCUCUUGCCCCAUGCUAAGGCCUUUUGAACCCAACUUCGCCUCCGCAAAUUGAGUUACCUUCGUUCCUCCAUCAAAUGCUCCUCCAAGAUAAGGUGCAUGUGCCCAGAAGCUCCCUUCGUCUUUGGCACCAUGCAAGAUGAGUCCACUCCGACAGAAUGAAUGGCCCAUGGAACAACAUGAUCCUGCUCUUGCCUCUACAAGAGUUCAUGUCCUUGACCUCUGUCCAAGGAAAGCACUGUGCCUCUGCUCCAUGUUCCAACUUCUAUGCUGGCUCCCUUCAUGCGUCUUGGGUACUUCGCCAAGUUACACCCAAGUUGCUCCGCUCCUCGUUUUUGCAUUGAGUCGAUGGUGGCCCUCGCGCCCACCAUUCCACAGGUUAGCCCUCCCUUGAGUCCGAUCUCCACAUCGACUCCAAGUGUGCCUUCAUUUAAGUUGCUUUAGGUCGCUCCCCCACUUGAUCUCGCAAUGUAUCCACCAAUGCAUUCUCUCGAGCGAGAUCAUGCGACAACUCCCCACCGCUUGCUCAGUCCAUCGAGCUUCGUGGAGUUGUUGUUUGUUGAGGUACUCCUCCUCAACAUGUGAGGUCCGUCUCACAUGAUUCUCCCUCUGGAGAGCCGGGACUUAUCCCUCCUGGAUAACUGUCCCAUUGGAGCAACAUCUCUCUUCGUUUCGGAGACCACCAUCCCCUUGGACUACUCCGAUCUGCUGAACAAACUGUGCAUUGUUCUGCCUCCUACAAAUGCACUUGCUAGAUUGCGACUCCCCAUCAAUACAGUCCCCACUGCACCCCUCAAGGCCUAGCAACAUGCUGAACUCGUUGCACACUUCAGCCUCCUACGGACGUAUCCUUCACAUGCCGAAGAGAAAGUUCUAAUGCUCCAUGGCGCCGAGUUUCGGUCGCCUUGGGAUGGCCACGAACAUUCCAUCGUCCGCAUACAAGCCCAUGCAUGAGUACCAAAUUCUUUGAGUGAGCAAUUCCCCUCACCUCUGUGAGCUUUGCAUAACUCUUUUGGUCGUUGAGCAACUUAUUCCACCUUGAAUGGUCUCAUCCUUUUCCAAGUGCCUCGCUUGUCUUGAGCACCAUCAAGUACGGUUGUCAACGUUGAGCCGUAGCUCAAACUCAGCCAUCCCAACCUUUAUGCGCUCCACAUUCUUCCAAGCUUGCCUGUUCUCGUGGUGCCUCUUGGGCGAAGGGUUGGCCAUUCCUUUGAAUGCCAAUGUCAGAUGCCCGCUCCUCUGAGCGACUCCUUUUCCCUACAUCUCCAUGCCCGUUUUCCCCCAAACGGUCGCGCGUGUGUUGACUGCCCUCAACGCAGCCUCGUUAGGUCCCCCACGUUUGCAUGUUAAGUGUUUCUAUGAGUGCUUGUCCUGCUCUGAUACCAUCUGUCACGGACUUAGCUGGAUUUGCCUAAGUCGUGCGGCACCCUUGCGUGUCCGUCCGCAAAGGUCAGCCUCCCCGAAGUCUCCCAUUGUCCCCUUAGGACCAACAAAAGAGAGAACGGGCUAGAGAGAACGCCUCAAUCGGGAUCCACAAGCAAAAUCUCCGAAAAAUACUUCAUAGACAAUGCAAAUUACAAACAGACUUUACAAGCUCUGAACAGUGGCACAACAAAGGGUAAAAUGGUCCAUUACAGACCGAAGGUCUCUCGCACGUGUCCACAUGACACAACCUUUAUUUACAAGCCUAAAGAGGCCACUAACCCAACUAAAAUGGGA